This 400-nucleotide ribosomal RNA is filed under the name Virgibacillus indicus. RNAcentral describes it as "bacterial SSU rRNA". It matches the Rfam family "Bacterial small subunit ribosomal RNA", at positions 769 to 1185 of the family's 1533-position model. The record is from RNAcentral. Lineage: Bacteria; Bacillati; Bacillota; Bacilli; Caryophanales; Bacillaceae.
CAAACCGGAUUAGAUACCCUUGUAUUCCACACCCUAAACUAUGCAGACUAGCUAUCGGGAGCAUCGACCCUUCCGGUGGUAAAGCUAACGCGUUAAGUUUGCCGCCUGGGAAGUACGGCCGCAAGGCUAAAACUCAAAGGAAUAGGCGGGAAUUCGCACAAGCAGUGGAUCAUGUGGUUCAAUUCGACUCUAAGCGAGAAACCUCACCAAGGCUUGACAUCCAGAUGCAAACCCUAGAAAUAGGGUCGCCUUCGAGGGUUCUGGACAGGUGCUGCACGGCUGUCGUCAGCUCGUCGCAUGAGCGGUUUCCUUAAGUGGAUUAACGAGCGCAACCCCCGUUGUCUGUUAUACGUGUCAGACGAGACUGCCUUCGUAAGGAGGAGGAAGGUGGGGAUGACGU